This 72-nucleotide transfer RNA is filed under the name Camelus bactrianus (Bactrian camel). It matches the Rfam family "tRNA". Rfam says of the family: Transfer RNA (tRNA) molecules are approximately 80 nucleotides in length. Their secondary structure includes four short double-helical elements and three loops (D, anti-codon, and T loops). Lineage: Eukaryota; Metazoa; Chordata; Mammalia; Artiodactyla; Camelidae. RNAcentral also lists the same sequence under 2 other names. The record is from Rfam by way of RNAcentral.
GAGGGUGUAGCUCAAUGGUAGAGUGUGUGCUUGGCAUGCAAAAGGUCAUGGGUUUAAUCCCCAGUACCUACU